Molecule: long non-coding RNA, 1961 nt
Filed under: Helianthus annuus (common sunflower)
Lineage: Eukaryota; Viridiplantae; Streptophyta; Magnoliopsida; Asterales; Asteraceae
Description: hypothetical non coding rna
Source: RNAcentral
UCUCCAGCGACAUUACGAAGAGAUGAACAGUUCCCCACGGCAGCUUCCGGAAAUCAUGCAAAGUAAAUGCGGAUUUUGGAAUGAAGUUUCAUGAUUCAAGUAGGAUUCGAUGGGUGGUUUAAGGAAAAUACAUAAAGUUAUUUAUAACCAACAUUUCUGUUGGUAUUGGAAUAGGAAACUACACUGAGGAAAUUGCAUAAAAAUGUGGCCGCUUAUCUUGGCCCCGAGAGAAGAGAUGACGACAAUAACGUGAAAUCUGAUUUGCCUCCAACUGUUGGUUCCUGAAUUCUUAGAUCGGUGAAGUUGUAAUUCAAGUUCGCCAGUUUCAUCAUCUCCAGGACUUCAGUUUUGUGUACCUGCAUAUCUUCACUGUGUUCGUCAACCAUAUCCAACAAUGUUCCUUGCUCCCAGCAUUUUUGAAAGACAAAGAGCAAGUGCCAGCUUUCUUCCGGCUGAGAUCUGUCGAAAACUCUUCUUCCACAUAAGAUCUCCAAAAGAACGAUCCCAAAGCUGUAAACAUCCACCUUUUCUGUGAUAAUUGAGCUCCACCAUUCUGGAGCGAUAUAUCCAGGUGUUCCUUUUAUGGUAGUCAUCACUUCAGCUUGAGUUUUAUCAAUGAGCUUAGAUAACCCAAAGUCGGAUACUUUUGCAUUGAAAUUGUUGUCAAGAAGUAUAUUUUGAGGUUUAAUAUCAAGGUGCACAAUUUUUUGCCUGCAUUCUUCAUGGAGAUAUGCCAAACCUUUGGCUAUAUCAAGAAUGAUUUUCUUUAUGCACUCCCAUUCAAGUAUGUGCUCCCGAACUCCAUGAUAGAUCCACUUAUCUAAUGACCCGUUACUCAUGAAAUCGUACACAAGAAACCGUUGUGAUUUCCAUGUACAGAAUCCUCUAAGUCUAACCAGAUUCACAUGGUGAAUGCUACCAAUGGAUUGAACCUCAGCUAGGAAUGAUUUCUUAAUGUGUGAAAGACCUUCAAGGCAUUUUACUGCAAUCUUCGAUCCAUCUCCGAGAGUCCCUUCGAAAACUGAUCCAAAUCCUCCUUCACCAAGCUUUUUACUAAACUUCUCUGUGGCGGUUUUCAGUUCCUCAUAAGAAAACCGAGUCGGCAUUCCUGGAACUUGAUCUAAAUACUCUUCCUCCAUUUCAGCAUCCUUUUUUCGCUUGUGGACUACAUACGUAACAAACCCUAUGGCCACAACAAGUAGAAGCAUAAAACUUCCAAUCGUAGAGCCUACAAUUUUUGCCACUUGAUGAGACACAUGAUGUGUUGUAGCAUUCUGGACUUUUAUAAAAGCUGUAGCAGUAUAAUAACCUUGAUCAACAGUCUUCAUUGUAAAUAGCUCUGAACGCAGAAAACAUUUUCCACUCGAAGAAUUCCAACCGUAGUGGUAUAAAGCUGCUUUGCAUGAGCAAUUGUGUAGACACGCUUGUUUGCAAGUCUCAAUACUCACCUCCUUCAUGUCGGGAAUAUAGGUGAAGUACGUGACAUUUUCGAGUGUGAUAAAACCUUGAGUUUGUGUAGAAUUACAUGUGAGAGGAGUAAUUUCAUAGCAACCCAGGUUGGGUUGACGAUCGUCCACUGGUCUAAAAUAUUCUAUUCCAGGACAACUACAUUGUUCAUCAGUUGAGCAAAUGGAAUAUCUUCCGCAACGCAAAGGAUACUCACACUCUUCAACAGCAUCACUUGUAACAUCUGAUACCAUUCUCCACUCAUCAGAUUGAAACUCAAACACUUGCAAAUGCCCAUCUGGCAUCAGUUUCAUAUACUGAGCUGGUGAUACUCCUUGUAUGCCAAUCACUUUAUCAGGAUUACUUGGCUUGGAAGAAUGAACGAAGAAUGACAAACUCCCAUUCAAGAACCGAAUGUAUUUUCUUUCUUUAAUUGUAUCAUCAUAUGUGAUAUCCAUUCUGUAAUAGACUUGAGGUGGGUUUGAUUCAAUAUAACCAAACAAACCUUCAUUCGU